This 2251-nucleotide ribosomal RNA is filed under the name human gut metagenome. Its description in RNAcentral is "bacterial LSU rRNA". It matches the Rfam family "Bacterial large subunit ribosomal RNA", at positions 591 to 2826 of the family's 2925-position model. The record is from RNAcentral.
GUGUGACUGCGUACCUUUUGUAUAAUGGGUCAGCGACUUAUAUUCUGUAGCAAGGUUAACCGAAUAGGGGAGCCGAAGGGAAACCGAGUCUUAACUGGGCGUUAAGUUGCAGGGUAUAGACCCGAAACCCGGUGAUCUAGCCAUGGGCAGGUUGAAGGUUGGGUAACACUAACUGGAGGACCGAACCGACUAAUGUUGAAAAAUUAGCGGAUGACUUGUGGCUGGGGGUGAAAGGCCAAUCAAACCGGGAGAUAGCUGGUUCUCCCCGAAAGCUAUUUAGGUAGCGCCUCGUGAAUUCAUCUCCGGGGGUAGAGCACUGUUUCGGCAAGGGGGUCAUCCCGACUUACCAACCCGAUGCAAACUGCGAAUACCGGAGAAUGUUAUCACGGGAGACACACGGCGGGUGCUAACGUCCGUCGUGAAGAGGGAAACAACCCAGACCGCCAGCUAAGGUCCCAAAGUCAUGGUUAAGUGGGAAACGAUGUGGGAAGGCCCAGACAGCCAGGAUGUUGGCUUAGAAGCAGCCAUCAUUUAAAGAAAGCGUAAUAGCUCACUGGUCGAGUCGGCCUGCGCGGAAGAUGUAACGGGGCUAAACCAUGCACCGAAGCUGCGGCAGCGACACUAUGUGUUGUUGGGUAGGGGAGCGUUCUGUAAGCCUGUGAAGGUGUACUGUGAGGUAUGCUGGAGGUAUCAGAAGUGCGAAUGCUGACAUAAGUAACGAUAAAGCGGGUGAAAAGCCCGCUCGCCGGAAGACCAAGGGUUCCUGUCCAACGUUAAUCGGGGCAGGGUGAGUCGACCCCUAAGGCGAGGCCGAAAGGCGUAGUCGAUGGGAAACAGGUUAAUAUUCCUGUACUUGGUGUUACUGCGAAGGGGGGACGGAGAAGGCUAUGUUGGCCGGGCGACGGUUGUCCCGGUUUAAGCGUGUAGGCUGGUUUUCCAGGCAAAUCCGGAAAAUCAAGGCUGAGGCGUGAUGACGAGGCACUACGGUGCUGAAGCAACAAAUGCCCUGCUUCCAGGAAAAGCCUCUAAGCAUCAGGUAACAUCAAAUCGUACCCCAAACCGACACAGGUGGUCAGGUAGAGAAUACCAAGGCGCUUGAGAGAACUCGGGUGAAGGAACUAGGCAAAAUGGUGCCGUAACUUCGGGAGAAGGCACGCUGAUAUGUAGGUGAAGUCCCUCGCGGAUGGAGCUGAAAUCAGUCGAAGAUACCAGCUGGCUGCAACUGUUUAUUAAAAACACAGCACUGUGCAAACACGAAAGUGGACGUAUACGGUGUGACGCCUGCCCGGUGCCGGAAGGUUAAUUGAUGGGGUUAGCGGUAACGCGAAGCUCUUGAUCGAAGCCCCGGUAAACGGCGGCCGUAACUAUAACGGUCCUAAGGUAGCGAAAUUCCUUGUCGGGUAAGUUCCGACCUGCACGAAUGGCGUAAUGAUGGCCAGGCUGUCUCCACCCGAGACUCAGUGAAAUUGAACUCGCUGUGAAGAUGCAGUGUACCCGCGGCAAGACGGAAAGACCCCGUGAACCUUUACUAUAGCUUGACACUGAACAUUGAGCCUUGAUGUGUAGGAUAGGUGGGAGGCUUUGAAGUGUGGACGCCAGUCUGCAUGGAGCCGACCUUGAAAUACCACCCUUUAAUGUUUGAUGUUCUAACGUUGGCCCGUUAUCCGGGUUGCGGACAGUGUCUGGUGGGUAGUUUGACUGGGGCGGUCUCCUCCUAAAGAGUAACGGAGGAGCACGAAGGUUGGCUAAUCCUGGUCGGACAUCAGGAGGUUAGUGCAAUGGCAUAAGCCAGCUUGACUGCGAGCGUGACGGCGCGAGCAGGUGCGAAAGCAGGUCAUAGUGAUCCGGUGGUUCUGAAUGGAAGGGCCAUCGCUCAACGGAUAAAAGGUACUCCGGGGAUAACAGGCUGAUACCGCCCAAGAGUUCAUAUCGACGGCGGUGUUUGGCACCUCGAUGUCGGCUCAUCACAUCCUGGGGCUGAAGUAGGUCCCAAGGGUAUGGCUGUUCGCCAUUUAAAGUGGUACGCGAGCUGGGUUUAGAACGUCGUGAGACAGUUCGGUCCCUAUCUGCCGUGGGCGCUGGAGAACUGAGGGGGGCUGCUCCUAGUACGAGAGGACCGGAGUGGACGCAUCACUGGUGUUCGGGUUGUCAUGCCAAUGGCACUGCCCGGUAGCUAAAUGCGGAAGAGAUAAGUGCUGAAAGCAUCUAAGCACGAAACUUGCCCCGAGAUGAGUUCUCCCUGACUCCUUGA